This is a long non-coding RNA of Atta colombica, 1095 nucleotides long. RefSeq lists it as uncharacterized. The record is from RefSeq and is a predicted model, not a curated record. The transcript has 3 exons. Lineage: Eukaryota; Metazoa; Arthropoda; Insecta; Hymenoptera; Formicidae.
CUCCAUUGCAGUAGUGCUUGUUACAGUUGCUUGCGAUUAGAAUAUUCGCAACAAUAGAUCUUGUAUCAUCACGGAUAUCAGAGAGACCGAAGGAAACUGAAUAACAAUCAUCAGAAGAUUGUUAAAAGAUUAUGACCAAAGUUUUCAAGUAAUAGAGUAAAAUGAAGUUAAUCAUUCUGCUGUUAUUACUGAUCAGUUUAGUUUCUUGUAAGCCCUGGCUUGAUCUAUGGUUUCCUCAGCAGUCCUACGACAAUCGAAAUACCGGAUAUUAUGCAAAUGGCCCGUAUCGUCAAAGUAGAGGUGGUAAGGAGCGCUGGAAACAAAUUUGUAGGACUAUAAAUGCGGAUUCAUAUGCAUUCCCAGGACGCGUGCCUUAUCCCGCCGCACCUGUUUGUCCAUGGUAAAAGAAAUUUCCGGUCGGAUUUCCGAUCUGUCGUGCCAAACGCAAGUGAGAAGAUAUCGUGCGUUAAAAAUAUGAAUUUAUUGUAACAACAUAGUUUUAGACAGUAUACGUCCACCGAUUAUGAGUAUUUCAGUCAGUAUGCGUGUACGUAUGUGUUCGUGACAAUGUUAGCAACAUAAUGCUAGUAUACAUACAAAUAUUCGUGAUUACAUAUAGCUACGUAUGCGUUCAUCAAAUAUGAAGCGAGGAAAUAAUUAUCCGCCAAUUGCAUCUUUUUGUAUGCGAACUUUAUUACUCCUCGCUUCUCGGUCCGUAUUCGCACUUAUUAAAUAUAAAAACAAGAAAAAGAAAUUAGAAACCAUAUCGUACUGUCAAAAAUAAUUUUCAGAGUUUCCAAACAAAGCUAAAGAAUAUGAUCGAAAGCUGUAAAAUGUAAUUUCUAGAUUUCUUUUUCAUUUUAAGAGUGUUCUAUCAUGCAAAGUCACUUCAUAUCUUCAGUAUAACUUUUAUUUAUCUUUCAGUUAAAUUUUUAGUACGCAUACGGAUCCACUAAUAUCUGUUAACUUAGAUAUAGUUCAAAGACUUAUCUAUCGAUCUGUGUAACAUCGACUUUCUAAGUCAUCACCUACAAAUCAGUAAUAUUCCAAGCUCUCUCUCUCUCUCUCUCUCUCUCUCUCUCUCUCUCUCUCUCU